CCUACGGGAGGCAGCAGUGGGGAAUAUUGGACAAUGGGGGCAACCCUGAUCCAGCCAUGCCGCGUGUGUGAAGAAGGCCCUCGGGUUGUAAAGCACUUUCAGUGAGGAAGAACGCCUGGUGGUUAAUACCCAUCAGGAAAGACAUCACUCACAGAAGAAGCACCGGCUAACUCCGUGCCAGCAGCCGCGGUAAUACGGAGGGUGCGAGCGUUAAUCGGAAUUACUGGGCGUAAAGCGCGCGUAGGUGGCUUGAUAAGCCGGUUGUGAAAGCCCCGGGCUCAACCUGGGAACGGCAUCCGGAACUGUUAAGCUAGAGUGCAGGAGAGGAAGGUAGAAUUCCCGGUGUAGCGGUGAAAUGCGUAGAGAUCGGGAGGAAUACCAGUGGCGAAGGCGGCCUUCUGGACUGACACUGACACUGAGGUGCGAAAGCGUGGGUAGCAAACAGGAUUAGAUACCCCAGUAGUC
Molecule: ribosomal RNA, 465 nt
Filed under: Vreelandella stevensii
Lineage: Bacteria; Pseudomonadati; Pseudomonadota; Gammaproteobacteria; Oceanospirillales; Halomonadaceae
Description: partial 16S ribosomal RNA
Rfam family: Bacterial small subunit ribosomal RNA
Source: RNAcentral